RNAcentral lists this transfer RNA (72 nucleotides) under Ciona intestinalis (vase tunicate). RNAcentral's name for it is "tRNA-Thr (CGT) (tRNA-Thr-CGT-16-1)". It matches the Rfam family "tRNA". From Rfam's summary of the family: Transfer RNA (tRNA) molecules are approximately 80 nucleotides in length. Their secondary structure includes four short double-helical elements and three loops (D, anti-codon, and T loops). The record is from Rfam by way of RNAcentral. Lineage: Eukaryota; Metazoa; Chordata; Ascidiacea; Phlebobranchia; Cionidae.
GCCUCUAUAGCUCAGUGGUAGAGCACUGGUCUCGUAAACCAGGGGUCGUGAGUUCAAUCCUCACUGCAGGCA